GUGGGGAAUAUUGCACAAUGGGGGAAACCCUGAUGCAGCGACGCCGCGUGAGCGAAGAAGUAUUUCGGUAUGUAAAGCUCUAUCAGCAGGGAAGAAAAUGACGGUACCUGACUAAGAAGCACCGGCUAAAUACGUGCCAGCAGCCGCGGUAAUACGUAUGGUGCAAGCGUUAUCCGGAUUUACUGGGUGUAAAGGGAGCGUAGACGGUUGUGUAAGUCUGAUGUGAAAGCCCGGGGCUCAACCCCGGGACUGCAUUGGAAACUAUGUAACUAGAGUGUCGGAGAGGUAAGCGGAAUUCCUAGUGUAGCGGUGAAAUGCGUAGAUAUUAGGAGGAACACCAGUGGCGAAGGCGGCUUACUGGACGAUCACUGACGUUGAGGCUCGAAAGCGUGGGGAGCAAACAGGAUUAGAAACCCCAGUAGUCC
This 425-nucleotide ribosomal RNA is filed under the name uncultured bacterium. RNAcentral's name for it is "bacterial SSU rRNA". It matches the Rfam family "Bacterial small subunit ribosomal RNA", at positions 354 to 796 of the family's 1533-position model. The record is from RNAcentral.